AAGAACGCUGCGAACUGCGAUACGUAAUGCGAAUUGCAGAAUUCAGUGAGUCAUCGAAAUUUUGAACGCACAUUGCACUUUCGGGUUAUGCCUGGAAGUAUGCCUGUAUCAGUGUCCG
This 118-nucleotide ribosomal RNA is filed under the name Pythium aphanidermatum. Its description in RNAcentral is "partial 5.8S ribosomal RNA". It matches the Rfam family "5.8S ribosomal RNA", at positions 39 to 154 of the family's 154-position model. From Rfam's summary of the family: 5.8S ribosomal RNA (5.8S rRNA) is a component of the large subunit of the eukaryotic ribosome. It is transcribed by RNA polymerase I as part of the 45S precursor that also contains 18S and 28S rRNA. The record is from RNAcentral. Lineage: Eukaryota; Oomycota; Peronosporomycetes; Pythiales; Pythiaceae.